UCACUUCAUGAGCUUGGCUUGCCGACGAUGUAAGAGAAGUAGUCAUAUUGUUAUUUUUCAUGUGUAUAUAAUUUUUUGUUUAUGUAAUGAAAUAACUCCGUUUUGUAUUGGUAUUUCUUAAUGCAGCACAUCGACUUGGUUAUGGACUUAUUGCGUGAUCGGGUUUAAAGAUGUCCGAGGUCAUUUGAUAGCCUUGGCCGAGUCAUACAGAAUUUGGAGUUCGGACGAAAUAUUGACAUUGAGUACCGGUCCCUCAAACUGGGAUAAGGAGUACGUGGUGCCCGACUAUAUGCUCAAGUAGACCA
Molecule: long non-coding RNA, 305 nt
Filed under: Olea europaea (common olive)
Lineage: Eukaryota; Viridiplantae; Streptophyta; Magnoliopsida; Lamiales; Oleaceae
Description: long non-coding RNA (OEUR_LNC007199)
Source: RNAcentral